This is a small nuclear RNA of Gracilinanus agilis (Agile Gracile Mouse Opossum), 106 nucleotides long. The record is from RefSeq and is a predicted model, not a curated record. Lineage: Eukaryota; Metazoa; Chordata; Mammalia; Didelphimorphia; Didelphidae.
UUGCUUUGGCAGUACAUAUACUACUAAGAUUGGAAUGAUUCAGAGAAAAUUAGCAUGGCCACUGUGCAAGGAUGACAUGCAAAUUCGUGAAUCAUUCCAUUAAAAA